UGUUUGAUAUCACCAAGCUGGAGGAUGCCU
Molecule: non-coding RNA, 30 nt
Filed under: Rattus norvegicus (Norway rat)
Lineage: Eukaryota; Metazoa; Chordata; Mammalia; Rodentia; Muridae
Source: RNAcentral